CCCUUAGAUGUUCUGGGCCGCACGCGCGCUACACUGAUUCAUGCAACAAGUUUUGUCCUUGGCUGAUAGGCCUGGGUAAUCUUUGAACGUGAAUCGUGAUGGGGAUAGAUGAUUGCAAUUAUUCAUCUUCAACGAGGAAUUCCUAGUAAACGCAAGUCAUCAGCUUGCAUUGAUUACGUCCCUGCCCUUUGUACACACCGCCCGUCGCACCUACCGAUUGAAUGGUCCGGUGAAAUCUUCGGAUCUGAGAGAUGUCUGAUUAAUUUCGGACGCCUUUUGGAAAAGUUGCUUAGACCUUACCAUUUAGAGGAAGGUGAAGUCGUAACA
RNAcentral lists this ribosomal RNA (327 nucleotides) under uncultured eukaryote. RNAcentral's name for it is "partial 18S ribosomal RNA". It matches the Rfam family "Eukaryotic small subunit ribosomal RNA", at positions 1470 to 1796 of the family's 1831-position model. The record is from RNAcentral.